Molecule: long non-coding RNA, 380 nt
Organism: Salvelinus namaycush (lake trout)
Lineage: Eukaryota; Metazoa; Chordata; Actinopteri; Salmoniformes; Salmonidae
Exons: 2
Source: RefSeq, a predicted model, not a curated record
CCGGCGCUUAUGGACGCAGAGUUGAACACACGGCCCAUCGGAUGCAUCAAACCUCACGCACAUGUCAAGUUCUCAACGGAACUCCCCACGUACAUCAACGUUUAAAAACUCUUCGGACAACUCCGAAAACAGCGACUCCAUUCUGUGUCAUGGACUUUUUGAAUCAUUUGAGCGGACACAAUGGUUUUGAGCUUUAUACCUGUGCAUGUUGGACUUUACUGACUUUGCUGACACUUACUGUGCUCUGUGAAAACCAGAAGAAACUGUAUACAGGUUUUUUUUUUAUACAUAAUAUAUGUCUAUCCAAUAAAAAAUAAUUUUUGAUGAAAUGUAUUUAUACAAAGUCAAGUACAUAACUACAAAUGGAAAGCCAGCAUGAU